GCCGGCAGCUAGCUCUCUGCACCUCUCACAUUUAGAUACUGAAGAUAAGCAGGGCUGCGCCCGGUCAGUACCUGGAUGGGAGACCACAUGGGAAAGCUGGGUUGCUGCAGGAA
This 113-nucleotide ribosomal RNA is filed under the name Danio rerio (zebrafish). The record is from RNAcentral. Lineage: Eukaryota; Metazoa; Chordata; Actinopteri; Cypriniformes; Danionidae.